This 482-nucleotide ribosomal RNA is filed under the name uncultured bacterium. Its description in RNAcentral is "partial 16S ribosomal RNA". It matches the Rfam family "Bacterial small subunit ribosomal RNA", at positions 30 to 507 of the family's 1533-position model. The record is from RNAcentral.
AUUGAACGCUGGCGGCAUGCCUUACACAUGCAAGUCGAACGGUAACGGGCCUUCGGGUGCCGCCGAGUGGCGAACGGGUGAGUAAUACAUCGGAACGUGCCCGAUCGUGGGGGAUAACGAGGCGAAAGCUUUGCUAAUACCGCAUACGAUCUACGGAUGAAAGCAGGGGACCGCAAGGCCUUGCGCGGACGGAGCGGCCGAUGGCAGAUUAGGUAGUUGGUGGGAUAAAAGCUUACCAAGCCGACGAUCUGUAGCUGGUCUGAGAGGAUGAUCAGCCACACUGGGACUGAGACACGGCCCAGACUCCUACGGGAGGCAGCAGUGGGGAAUUUUGGACAAUGGGCGCAAGCCUGAUCCAGCCAUGCCGCGUGCAGGAUGAAGGCCUUCGGGUUGUAAACUGCUUUUGUACGGAACGAAAAGCCUUCUUUUAAUACAGGAGGGUCAUGACGAUACCGUAAGAAUAAGCACCGGCUAACUACGUG